Molecule: ribosomal RNA, 492 nt
Filed under: uncultured bacterium
Lineage: Bacteria
Description: partial 16S ribosomal RNA
Rfam family: Bacterial small subunit ribosomal RNA
Source: RNAcentral
AGUGAACGCUGGCGGUAGGCCUAACACAUGCAAGUCGAACGGCAGCACAGUGAGAGCUUGCUCUUACGGGUGGCGAGUGGUGGACGGGUGAGGGAUGCAUCGGAAUCUACUUUUUAGUGUGGGUUAAAGUAGGGAAAAUUACGCUAAUACCGCAUACGAUCUACGGGUGAAAGCCGGGGAUCUUCGGACCUUGCGCGAUUGCAUGAGCCGAUUUCGGAUUAGCUAGUUGGCGGGGUAAUGGCCCACCAAGGCGACGAGCCGUAGCUGGUCUGAAAGGAAGGUCAGCUAGACUGGAAGUGAGAGACAGUCCAGACUCCGAGGGGGAGAAGCAGUGGAGAAUAUUGGGCGAUGGGCCCGAGCGUGAUCCAGCCAUACCGCGGGGGUGAAGAAGCAGCUCGGGUUGGUAAGCCCUGAUGUUGUGAAAGAAAUGCAGCACGUUAAUACCCCGCUGUUCUGACGGUACCCAAAGAAUAAGCACCGGCUAACUUCGUG